CUGGUACCUCCCCCUCGACCUGUUCCAGAAGCUGCUGUACCAGCCACUCUGGAGGGCAGCGUCUUUGUGCCUUCGAGCAAGUUUGCUCAACCGGAGGGGGAUGACAAGACUCUGUGUGUUGAUGAGUGGCCGUUUCUUCAAACAGUUUUGUGAGAAGGUGAACCAGCCAACUGCUCGGGUUGUCUCUGGACAGAGAAAACAAGAGGAGCCAACACCUUGGGGUCCAAAAGUUGUGAUGGCCCAGGCUGAUAAACCAACAGCCAAUGAGACCAGCUUCUUGGGAUGUUCAACCAAGAUGACACACAUUGAGGACCAUGAGCCGUUUGAACCAGCACCUGAGGUCACAGCGAGCAGUCAGCAGAGCCCGCCUGAGGACAAUGGCCAGCUUGAAGAUCCUCAUGUAACACUUGGCAAUCAGAAGGCACCCUGUGAUUUUGCACCUGCCAGAGCUGCUACAUCAAGUCAUGUGACUUAUGACAACCCUGGGUGUCUUCAAGGAUCGUUUGACCAGAGCAGCCACAUAUUCGGGGAAAAUGCAGGUAAGCAGUGUGCUACAAAUGGCAUAGCGGCGAUUAUGACCCACACCACCCAUAGCGUUCUCAAAUGGAAAAAAAAGAACAUUCAUCAUAUUCUAAAACAAGGUAAUGGCUUGUACACAUCUAUGCUAGAAAAUAAGGAAAUCAGUGCAGCCAAAACCAGUGGGCAUAUUUUCAUUUCUGAGUUACCCAGACACUGCAAAUUAAAAAAUAAAUUAUUUAGUUUGGAAUAUUUUGAUACACUCACUGGAAGUCUUGAUCAAAAGGAUGAUUAUGACGCUUCUUUGCAAAACAUAGCCAUGCCUUUAGAAGAGGCUAUUCAGAAGACACUGCUGCAGACAGACACAUGCUUGCUCAACAUCCAAGGAAGUGUCUGUGCCGUUUUCAAGGUCGAAACUGCUUUUGCAGUUUUCGAUCCUCAUUCUCGUAGUACUUGGGGUUCGGUUGCACCGGAUGGAACCAGCAUAGUAGCACACUAUGCUACUGUGUGUGAGUUAUAUGACCAUAUUGAGAACCUUGUCAAUUCCUUAUAUCAAAAUCAUCCACAUGAUUUUGAUAUCCCAAACAAGGUGUUUGAAGUCACUGGUGUGAAAGCUGUUGAGGUAAAUUCACCAUUUACUGCUUUAACU
Molecule: long non-coding RNA, 1165 nt
Organism: Gadus morhua (Atlantic cod)
Lineage: Eukaryota; Metazoa; Chordata; Actinopteri; Gadiformes; Gadidae
Source: Ensembl